Salmo salar (Atlantic salmon) is the source of this 2530-nucleotide non-coding RNA. Lineage: Eukaryota; Metazoa; Chordata; Actinopteri; Salmoniformes; Salmonidae. The record is from RefSeq and is a predicted model, not a curated record.
AUGGUGAGGGCCACAGCAUAGUCCUUUAGUCUCUAUGGGCCAGAUGGUGAGGGCCACAGCAUAGUCCUUUAGUCUCUAUGGGCCAGAUGGUGAGGGCCACAGCAUGGGAAAAGAAACUGUUCAGAUGGGGGUCUAUAACAUCCAAUCACAUACUCCUCAAGAUGAGGCUCAUGAUUUAUAAGUUAUAUACCUUUUAAUCUUUACAUAUAUUGUCUUUAUUUAAACCAAGGUAGUUUGAGUUAGUAGCGAUGAAGUAGCAACUGUCAGCUGCUGUAAACCUGUGACAGUCUUCAUAGGAGAGCUGAUCUCGGAUCAGUUUAGCUUAUUAUAUCAUAUUGAUACUGCUGUAAACCUGUGACAGUCUUCAUAGGAGAGCUGAUCUCAGAUCAGUUUAGCUGUUUAUAUCAUAUUGAUACUCCUGUAAAGUCAGGUUACAGCAGGUGUUUACUGCCAUCUAGUGGAAGAUAUUUUAUUUUUAUUUCACUUUUAUUUAACUAGGUAAGUCAGAACAAAUUCUUAUUAACAAUGACGGCCUACCCCGGCCAAACCUUGACGACGCUGUGCCAAUUGUGCGCCGCCCUAUGGGACUCCCAACCAUGCAGCCUGGACUCUAACCAGGUACUGCAGUGACGCAAGAGGCGGGACUCCGCACCACUCGGGAGGCGGCUGAGCUGAAACAGAAAGUAAAUAUGUUAUUUUGUUCAGGAUCCAUUUUGAGACGACAGAGCAGAAAACACUAUAUGGAGAUUAUUGAAAAAUAAAGAUCCAUUUUGAGACGACAGAGCAGAAAACACUAUAUGGAGAUUAUUGAAAAAUAAAGGGAAGCCUGGGCAACUGAAAUGUCUGAGCUUUUUCAACAGUCUGACUGUGAACAUCUGUACCAAAACCAAAUGAAGGGAGACAUAGAUAUGAUUAAAAAACAACUGUUGAUGCGACAUGAAAAAAAGAUGGGUGGAGGAGAUGAAUCAUCAACCCAAAUUGAGAACCUUUUGUUUGAUUCAGGGUGAAUUGGUGUGUGAGAGAUAUAUUAUGUAUAACCUACCUAAAAGCAAGAGAUCUCUAUGUGCACAGGGAAGAUCAGGGAUAUUGUCUCUGUGUAUUGAAACAGGUCAGAUCAGGGAUAUUGUCUCUGUGUAUUGAAACAGGUCAGAUCAGGGAUAUUUUGCCUCUGCGUAUUGAAACAGUUCAGAUCAGGGAUAUUGUCUCUGCGUAUUGAAACAGUUCAGAUCAGGGAUAUUUCCUCUGAGUAUUGAAACAGGUCAGAUCAGGGAUAUUGUCUCUGCGUAUUGAAACAGUUCAGAUCAGGGAUAUUUCCUCUGACUAUUGAAACAGGUCAGAUCAGAGAUAUUGUCUCUGAGUAUUGAAACAGGUCAGAUCAGGGAUAUUGUCUCUGAGUAUUGAAACAGAUUAUUUCAGGGAUAUUGUCUCUGUGUAUUGAAACAGGUACGAUCAUGGAUAUUGCCUCUGAGUAUUGAAACAGGUAAGAUCAGGGAUAUUUUCUCUGAGUAUUGAAACAGGUCAGUAUUGUGGUGAAAUGGAGGAAAGACUAUGUAACUAUUGUGACCUUAAAGAAAUAGAGAAUUAAACUGAUUUAAUCCUCUAUUUCCUUUUCUACCAUGAUAUACGCUUGCUCUUAUUCCAGAAAGACCACCAGAUAUACCCUGGCAGUAUGUGAUGAGUGAUGAGGAGAAAUUGAAAUGUUUUUUUUGUCCAUUGUGUAUUUCCGUUUGUGGAAUAUUUAGAUAAAUCCUGGAAUAUAAGAAAAAUGUUUACCUAUAAUUAAAUUGUAAAAAUAUUUAGCUUCUGCGUGGUAAAUGGUACAUGUGUAUAUAGAUUGUGUAUAUGUUUGUCUCCCAUAUGAGUCUUCUAUGUGGUAAAUGGUAUGUGUAUAUAUAGAUUGUGUAUAGACUUGUCUCCCAUAUGAAUCUUCUAUGUGGUAAAUGGUAUGUGUAUAUAUAGAUUGUGUAUAGACUUGUCUCCCAUAUGAAUCUUCUAUGUGGUAAAUGGUAUGUGUAUAUAUAGAUUGUGUAUAGACUUGUCUCCCAUAUGAAUCUUCUAUGUGGUAAAUGGUAUGUGUAUAUAUAGAUUGUGUAUAGACUUGUCUCCCAUAUGAAUCUUCUCUUUGUGUCAGACUGGGUUCAAAUUCCUUCUGUUUAUUUUUUUCUGUAUUUAUUUAUCUGUAUAUGUUAUGUAUGUAUAUAUAUACAGUAUAUAUAUAUGUAUGUAUGUGUAUAUAUACAGUAUGUAUAUAUGUAUGUAUGUGUAUAUAUACAGUGUGUAUAUUAUUGUACUGCUCUAGGGAUAUAAUUAUUGUUUGCAUCACCUUAUUUACUAUUAUGUAUUGAUUUUUACCUUAUUUUUUUCACUAUUCAUGCGAUGCCCAAUGCAGAGAACACCGGAAGGAGAAUGAUCAUUUAAUUACCACAGUCAAUUAUUGUAAUGUUUGUUUAUGUGGCAAUUAUCCCCAUAAGGGAUGGGUUGCCAGUUGGCGAUUUGACACGGAAAUAAAAUAUCAUUCAUUCAUUUGUUC